RNAcentral lists this ribosomal RNA (253 nucleotides) under uncultured bacterium. RNAcentral describes it as "partial 16S ribosomal RNA". It matches the Rfam family "Bacterial small subunit ribosomal RNA", at positions 524 to 776 of the family's 1533-position model. The record is from RNAcentral.
UACGUAGGGUGCGAGCGUUGUCCGGAAUUAUUGGGCGUAAAGGGCUCGUAGGCGGUCUGUCACGUCGGGAGUGAAAACUCAGGGCUUAACCCUGAGCCUGCUUCCGAUACGGGCUGACUAGAGGUAUGCAGGGGAGAACGGAAUUCCUGGUGUAGCGGUGAAAUGCGCAGAUAUCAGGAGGAACACCGGUGGCGAAGGCGGUUCUCUGGGCAUUACCGGACGCUGAGGAGCGAAAGUGUGGGGAGCGAACAGG